This 58-nucleotide transfer RNA is filed under the name Phytophthora infestans (potato late blight agent). It matches the Rfam family "tRNA", at positions 8 to 63 of the family's 71-position model. From Rfam's summary of the family: Transfer RNA (tRNA) molecules are approximately 80 nucleotides in length. Their secondary structure includes four short double-helical elements and three loops (D, anti-codon, and T loops). RNAcentral also lists the same sequence under 1 other name. Lineage: Eukaryota; Oomycota; Peronosporomycetes; Peronosporales; Peronosporaceae. The record is from Rfam by way of RNAcentral.
UAGCUCAGUGGUCAAGCGUUGGCUUUGGAAGCCACAGGGCGGUGGUUCGAUUCCACGC